GCCAAGCUAGUUUUCAGUUCUGGUGUGGUAGGUUCCAGUUGUUGUCAUGGCAACUGUCCGCCUCUCCGCGCUGGUGGGCGUGUCUUUUAGCUGAUGAGGGUAUAAAUAAGGUUGGAGGGCUGGUGGAAAUCGAGUUUUUCUCCAUCUUGUGCUUUGUCGGUUCUAACUGGUGCUGUUUUUCUUCCUCUUUUGUAGCUUCCUCCUGAAACUUAAUAGGAAUACUUGGUUUCGAUUCCAGAAGGAGGUAGGGGUAUGCUUCUGGGGCAACAGCCUUGAGAACAGUUUCAUUCUCAGCUGAAAGCCAUUGUUAAAGACUCUCUAAGGCCUGAAGAUGGAGAGCACCCGGAGCACUCCUCGAGAAGGGACACAGGGACUGUGUGUCUGAGCUGGUGCCUCAGAUGCAGGUGCUAGCCGUGCCCGGCGGAGGCAGCCGGUAAGCCCGACCCAGCGCCAAUCUGGACACCCAUUAUACUACAGAGCUACAGUCAUCAAAGCAGUAUGUUACUGGCAGAAAGCAGAUGCUACUGGCAGAAAUCAGUGGAACAGACUAUAGAGCCCAGAAAUGAACCCACACUUACAUGGACAAUUAAUCUACAAUAAAGGAAGAGAUUAAACGUGUGGUUGGCAGAAACUGGAGCCCCCUGCAUGCAGGACAGGAGCCGCAUGCCCUACACGGAUGCUGUGGUGCAUGAGAUAUAUUGACCUGGUCCCCACCAACCUGCCCCACAAAGCAACUCAGGACAUUAAAUUCAGAGACUAUCUUAUUCCCAAGACAUGCAGAUGUUCCUGGGCCAGCGACCUGAGCCACAGCAGUGACAACUCCCGAUCCUUAAGCCCUUCAGCCAUCAGGAAAUUCAGACCUUUUCAGGGAUUUAAGGAUGAGUACAAGGGCAUACACUUGGGUCAGAAAAAUACAUGAAGAAAUUGAAACCUUCCAUUGAUACCUGUUCUCCCCAACCAAGCUCCAGUAACUCCUUUAUCCUCUGAAUAGGGUAAGGAUGGUAAGUGCUCCCUGAGUUUUUCUCAAUUAAAAUAUCAUUUGACUAACCCACUAGAAACUAUCUCAUUUUUUAAAAAAUGUGACAGCCCCUAAAAUAGUUAAAAAAUUACCUGAAGUCAGUAUUGUUAAAGAGAUAACAAAAGGUUACAAAAAAAAAUACUUUAAAAAUUUUUUUGACUCUUCCUCCAGUCCCAGGUUUUUCUUGAAUUCAGUCCUCAAUGAGAAAUCUUUCCUCAAAGAAAGAAAAUACUCCUCUUCCUCACUGCCGUCCCACAGGGUCAUGACAGAAAAGUACUGUAUUUGUUUUCUCCUUUGCUCCUCAAAAGCAUUUCAAUCAAAUAAAAUUUUCCAAAAUAAGGAAUUAUAGGAGGUAGAUCCUUGGAAGGGAAAAAAUUUAUUGAUGCCUAAGCAGGUAAGCCAGUAUACUGUUCUCAUCAGGCUCAGGCUCCAUGACUGAUUCUUCCAGUUUUGUUUUGAGACUCCCCCAUCCUAACACAUACCCCACAGCCACAGACAUAACCAUAUAGAUACACAAAUAUCCAAGAGAUAUUGUGUUAAUGUUUAAUAUUUAUGUCUUUCUUUUUCAGUGGUUCAUUUAGAUCUUACAGACAGGAACUACCCUGUACCCACAUUACAGAUGAGGAUCAGCAUGUGGACAGUAGAAGCAGAGUAGAGAGAAUAUUAGAUAAAUGUGUGCAGUGAACCUCAGGAAACUCUAGUGGAGGUUGGGUGUUCACUGGAUAUUGGGAGAAUAGCAGGCUGUGAGAGGUCAGAGAAGGUAUUCCAGGGACCAGGAUGAGGUGAGCAAUGCCCCAGAGGAGGGGAGUGGCAGAUGACAGCACAGCAGCUGCCAGAGGGUCCUCUCUUCCUCACAGUGGAAUGAAGCAGAUCUGGUAGAAGGGAGGCACAGAAGCAAAUCCAUUGGCAACUGGAGUGGUGUCGAUGUCCUUUGGAUCAACCACAGAUUUCAGGUUAAAUUUCUGUAAAAUUGUGGUCAGGAAUAAAAACAGCUCCAUGCGGGCCAGGCCCUCUCCCACACAAAUCCGUUUUCCUGAAAAUAACAGACCCAGGGGUUGGUUAUUCUUCAAAUAGCGUGUUUGUGACUGGCAUGAAGAGAAUACACAGUAACUAUUUGGCAAAUGAUUGAAUGGAUGGAUGGAUGUGUGUGUGGAUGGAUUAAUGGAAGACUAGCUGGAUUGACAGAAGGACAGUAAUGAAGAUAGACAAACUUGUUAGCCACCCAAAGUCUUUAUCUUAACAAACACCCUUCAUUCAACAGUUAUAGAGUACCAGUUAUAUGCUUAUCACUUCAAUAGGUAAUCUUACAUUAUAGCUGCUCUUUUGGAAUUUCAAAUUUAAAACUAUCUUUUUUUUAGAAAUACCCUCACAUUGCUUGUCCAGUGGAUUGAAGGGAGAAGAAUGGAGAGGAGGCUCAUGUAUCUGUGUCUCCUUUUCUACAUCUGGUACAAAAUUCAGCUAAAGAUUUUUUCACUAGUGUAUUUUCAAAAGACUUAUAUGAUGAUCUAGAUUUUAAAUUUUAAAUUGAUUAUAUGACUGUACUUAUCAAACUCAUCUGUCUUACAGGAUACAGUGCCAUGGCUUGACUUGUCUCUUCACAUUCUGUUCCCAGUCUGAUGUCCAUGAUCUUUCCUUCCAUUAGUCACACCUUUUACUCUCAGCUCUAAGCCGAUCCACUCUUCAUUACCUUCCAACACACCAGCCAUGUCAAGCUUUAUCUCAUGCUGUUCCUCUUGGCUGAGAUGUACUUCUCUUUUACUUCCUUCCAUUUCUAGGUCAGAUAUUGUGUUUCCUUUACACUCUUUGGUAAUUCCCUCAGGUCUUAGAUUCUUACUCUCUCUGGGUUAUUCCCUUUAUUUUAUAGCUUGUUAAAAUGUGAAUUCCUUGAAUGAAGGGCUCAGUUCUUGUGUCUUAGAUCUACACUUGAAGCAUGCAUCAAGAGUCACAGAAUAAACAAAGGUGACUCCAUGGGCAGACACUCAGAGCACUCCUUUCAGGUAUGAAGAUCCAAUAACCAAGACAUAAGAUCAUGACUGGAGGAAGAGGAUGAUGCUCUGGAGUCACUGCAUGGUAUCCUACCACAGCCCCAGUAUUCCCCCACCCUAUAUUUAGUUGAAAGUUCUCCUCCUCGAUCUAGAGAAAAUGUCCUAUUCCUGUGGCUCAUUACUUCCUUAAAAAUGACCUUCCUUUUCUUCUUUCAUUUCUCUAUAUCCCCUGUGCAGCAGCUCAAAUAUAAUUUCUCUUAUUAAAAUGUUGCUUAUUCCAUCUUAUGCCUCAAUACGGAGUAUGAAUAAUCAGGAAAGAGGUGGUUUCCACCUCUUGUCGCUGAGCAGUCUGUUAUUCCCUCUCUCAUAGUACUAGUUGUACCAUAUGACAAGUGUUUACUCCUUUCCUCCAGUAAUUGGGAUGUGAGCUUUAGGAGUGCCUAUUUUAUACUUCGACAUACUUAUGUCCCCAUAUCUCAUCCUGUGGUGACAGGCAACAGAUAGAAGAUGAUCAACAAAGUUAUCUGACUUUGUCAGAACUGGUGAAGACAGUAUAAACUCACUUUCUAGGAAGAGUUCUGGGUACUGCAGUGACGUAUUUGGAGGCAGAAUUCAAUAAACCCACCUUCUAGCUUUCUUCUUCUGGAAGAACCAAAUGACUUCCCAAGGCCCCACUGAUGUGGCCCAACAAUGAGGAUGUAUCAAGAGGUGGGAAAGUACAUGGGCAUUGCAAAGAGAAACUCUACUAGCUUGAGAGUGGGUACUGUGUACAUUUUAGCUGAUUUCAUGAAGGUGUUUUGUUCCCCGAAGCACCAAAAGAAAUGAAUUUCUGUUACCUGUUGAGAAAGGCAUGAAGUAGUCACUCUUCUUAAAGUUACCACUCUCAUCUAGGAAAUGGCCAGGGUCAAACACUUCUGGGUUGGGGAAUGCUUUGCAAUCAUACAGCACAGAAGUCAAAGAUGUUAAUAUUGUUGUGCCCUGGAAUGAACAGACAAAGAUAAACUGAGUUAUUAAGAAGUUACAGAGCUAGAAGAAAUGUUGGACAUUACUUAGUCCAGUCUCUUUGAUCCGUAGAUGGAGAAACGGUGGUCCAAAGAAGUGAAGUGAAAUUUCCAGGCAGACAGACCAGAUAAUAAACAAGGAUGAGUUUAAGCUACCAAAAUAUUAGCUUGCAAAUGUAAUUCGCAUAUGGUGAAUGACCAGCUAGCAAUUGGCAUGUGAAACAAUGGAAUGAAGAAUGCACAUCAAGGAAGGGAGAUUCUAGCCAGAACAAUAGGCAUGGAUUCAGUGGAGGAUGGGAGGCAGGGACUUCAUUUAACAGACCCACAGCACAACAUGAGACCUGAAAAGAAGAUGCCAUUUAAUGGUCAUGAGGUUCUAAAUGCCAGGAAAUGGUAUACAUUACUAGAUCACUAAGGACAAUGCUCGUACAAACCAUGUUCUAUAGAUAUCAUUGUAUUUGUUCUAAGUUGAUUAAUGAAGUUACUUCUAAGCUCUUUUCAUAAGGAAAAUUAAGAUUUGUCAGACUGCAGUUAGACAUGUUUACAGGAAUUCUGACAAUUAACAGAGAAGUUUCAUACCUAUCACAUCCCUUCAGAGUCUCUCAAUUAACUUUACCUACAGUAAAAUUAUUCCUAUUAGAGAAGAAGCUGGGCUUUGAGAAUUCAGUACUUGGGCCAAGGACAUGGUGUCUAUGGCUGGUAAAGCUGUGGCUGGACCCUAUAUCCCCUGAGUCUUGUAUGCUUCCCUCCAAGCAAGCAUUCAGUUCAGGGCCAUAACCAUGACAUAUGUGGUUCCCAA
Long non-coding RNA from Phacochoerus africanus (Common warthog), 4803 nucleotides. RefSeq lists it as uncharacterized. The transcript is spliced from 8 exons. NCBI's taxonomy places the organism in Eukaryota, Metazoa, Chordata, Mammalia, Artiodactyla, Suidae. The record is from RefSeq and is a predicted model, not a curated record.